Molecule: ribosomal RNA, 490 nt
Filed under: uncultured bacterium
Lineage: Bacteria
Description: partial 16S ribosomal RNA
Rfam family: Bacterial small subunit ribosomal RNA
Source: RNAcentral
AUUGAACGCUGGCGGCAGGCCUAACACAUGCAAGUCGAACGGUAACAGGAAGCAGCUUGCUGCUUUGCUGACGAGUGGCGGACGGGUGAGUAAUGUCUGGGAAACUGCCCGAUGGAGGGGGAUAACUACUGGAAACGGUAGCUAAUACCGCAUAACGUCGCAAGACCAAAGAGGGGGACCUUAGGGCCUCUUGCCAUCGGAUGUGACCAGAUGGGAUUAGCUAGUAGGUGGGGUAACGGCUCACCUAGGCGACGAUCCCUAGCUGGUCUGAGAGGAUGACCAGCCACACUGGAACUGAGACACGGUCCAGACUCCUACGGGAGGCAGCAGUGGGGAAUAUUGCACAAUGGGCGCAAGCCUGAUGCAGCCAUGCCGCGUGUAUGAAGAAGGCCUUCGGGUUGUAAAGUACUUUCAGCGGGGAGGAAGGGAGUAAAGUUAAUACCUUUGCUCAUUGACGUUACCCGCAGAAGAAGCACCGGCUAACUCCGUG